Molecule: long non-coding RNA, 11663 nt
Filed under: Solanum melongena (eggplant)
Lineage: Eukaryota; Viridiplantae; Streptophyta; Magnoliopsida; Solanales; Solanaceae
Description: long non-coding RNA (SMEL_LNC000132)
Rfam family: tRNA (bases 7773-7844)
Source: RNAcentral
AGCACCUUCAACAUCAUACUCACUGCUGUCGUUCAACAUGAAAUUUCCACUAACACCAGCUGAGGACAAAGGUGGACAGCGAUCGGGAUAGAGUUCUCGAGCCAAAGCUUCCUCCUGACUGAUGAUGGCAAGCCAAGUUGCACUUUCCUUGGCUGUCAUCUUGUCCUGUAAGCACUUUGACUGCCUUACCAGCUUGCGGAUUUUAGCAAUAUCAGGGAACAUGUGCUUGAUCACCGCUGUUAGGACACCAACCUUCCACGCCUUCUUCAGAUCAUGAGGCUUCUUGUAAGGUAGAGAACCUUGGUCCUUCUGCAAACCCAAUUGAGGCCACCAAUCCUCCUUUCCUGUGGGCCACCAUGGUGGUGGAACACCUUUCUCCAAUGGAAAUCUUCUCUGAGGAGGAUCACAGUGCUGCAUCAAAGCUGAUAAUAACGAACCAAGGGUGGUAUCUUGCAGCUCCUGCAAGGUGUGAGGGGUAGGACCAACUGGAUUAGACCCCUCGUUCAUGCCAGGGAUGGCAUGAUCAGCUUGGUAUUUGGCUAUUGCUGCAGGACCAUUUCGAUCGAACCUCACCUUAUCCUUCCACCACUCCCUAAGAUUAUCAGAUGCCCCACUAACUGGCUUGCCUUUUUCCGGAAUGAUCCCAUAAACAAACCCCUGAGCUUUACAUACUUCCAUCAUUUUCAGCAUGUACUUCAAGAUCCCAUCCUGUGCCCUUGACAUCUUCUUCCUCCUCGCCUGCUCCUGCGACUGACGUUGUUUUGCAGGAUCAACACCUUCCUUACUUUUACUCAUUUCUUUCAGCCUUUUCAACUUCAUCUUGUCCCUCCACAUCCUCCUCUCCAGCUCAUCCACUUCAAUCUCCUCCUCAUCACUAUAAUCAUCAUCCACCACAGAAUCCGGCUCAGUCUGACUCUGCGGAGCAGACACUUCCACUUCCUUCAGCGGAGCAGGGAAGAAAUCAAGAUCCCCACAGAGCCCCAUUUCCUCAAACAUCAUCAUCUUCCACAGGAUGAAAAAGGUGAAGCUACUUGCAACUUCCACAGGAUUAAGCAGCUAAUACCCAAAAUCCAAUAUUCAGAUCAGAAUCUAAUUGAAAUUGAUCAAAUUACAUGAGCCUGCAAAUACAUUAAAAAGAAAGAACAUAAGCUAUCUCCUUAAACUGAAAUCACACAAUAGAAUAAACAAGCAAACAUCACAACAAACAUAUGAAGUUCAAGUACACCAAUCAUCAAAAGAACCAUAAAUUUUAUCUCUAGAAAAUUUAAAACAACUCCCAUUUUCUCAGCAGCUCAACAGAAAAAUUGUACAAACUAACUUACCAAAUAAUCCAAGAAUUGACAUACUUUCCUGGAUCUAAAACAUAAAAAUAUCCAUGCUAAUUGAUUUCCAUAUAUUGUAUUUAUCAGCUGAUCCCAAAAGGAGGAAAAUGAAAGCUAUAUUCAACCAAAUCAACAACAGAAAAAACAGAUGAAAAAUCCAAUCUUGAAACAAAAGCUCAACUACUUACACAAAAAAACUCAAUAAUCCAAAGAUCAAACACAACUAUACUGAAGAAGAAACCCCAGAUGAAAAACUAACACCAAAAACCAGUAAAGAUCUCAGCUUUACCAUAAAAAAGCAAAUUUAAUCAAGAAAUAAUUGCACAAAUACCUCAAAAAGAUCACUUUUUUUAUGUCGUUGCAAAACUGUGGUUCAACUGGAACUCAGCUUAGAGAAUAAUAAUUGAGCCUUUUGGAGUUGUAAGCAGGAAAGAGAGAAGAAGAUGGUUAUUAUAGUACUAAUAAUACAAUUUUAAUAAUGGAGUUUGUACUAUUUUUUGAUGUAUUGGGAGAUGAAAAGUGUCGGCUCUUUGGUAAAAAGCCAUCCUUUUGCUCAUUAUUUAUUUAUUUAUUUACGGGAGAAGGAUCAAAUAUGUUCCUAAACUAUUUGAAAAGGUUUAGAUAUACCCUCCGUUUAAAGAUUGGUCUAUUUAUACCCUCGCUGUCCAACUUUUGGUCUACAUAUGCCCUUUUGAGCGUUAGUUGGUCAACUCGGAAUAUCCAAUUCAUUUUACUUUUAUUUAAAUGCCAAAUGGAUUUUCUACGUCAUUUUUAUUAUUAUCACUUGACAUUUAUAUUCAAGAGAAAAGGGUCAAAUAUGCCCUUAAACUAUUUAAAAGGUCUAGAUAUACCCCCGUUUACAGUUUGAUCAAUUUAUACCCUCGCGUCCAAAUUUUUGGUCUACAUAUUCCCUUAUGGAUGUUAGUCAAUCCAAGAUAUCCAACUCAUUUUACUUUUAUUUAAAUGUCAAAUGGAUUUUCCACAUCAUUUUUAUAUAUUAUUACUUGACAUUUAUAUUAAAAGAGAAAGGGGCCUUUUAUACCCCUAACUAUCCGACCUAAUUUUAAAACACAUAUAUGACCCGUCUUUUAAGUAAUCUAUACAACCUCACCCUUUUUUUUAAAUACCCUAUAUGGGUCGAAUUAGGGCAUAAUUGAACCAUUUAAAUGGCGAACACUAUCGUGCUCUGAUUGGAACUGUCGAGGAAUCAAUGGCACGACAACUAAAGGAAAAGGAAGUCGAGAUUUGAAAAGCGUUUAAACGCAACGCAGAGCUGGAGGCGCAAAUCUGGCAUGCAAGGACUAGAGCAGAGGAAUUCACCGCAACGACGUUACAGACGCAACUGCAAGCUGCAGCAGGCGAUGAUGAUGUAAAUAACAAAAUAAUUCACACAUAUAUGAGUCGGAUUAGGGACAUAAUUGAACCAUUUCAAAGACGGUCGUAUAUGUGUUUUAAAAUUGGGUCGGAUAGUUAGGGCAUAAGUGACCCCUUUCUCUUUUAAUAUAAAUGUCAAGUGAUAAUAUAUAUAAAUGAUGUGAAAUCCCAUUUGGCAUUUAAAGAAAAGUAAAUUGAGUUGGAUAUUUUGAGUUGACCAACUAACACCCAUAAGGGCAUAUGUAGACCAAAAGUUGGACGCGAGGGUAUAAAUGGACCAAACUUUAAACGGGGGUAUAUCUAGACCUUUCGAAUAGUUUAGGGGCAUAUUUGACCCUUUUCCCUUGAAUAUAAAUGUCAAGGGAUAAUACAUAAAAAUGACGUGGAAUAUCCAUUUGGCAUUUAAAUAAAAGUAAAAUGAGUUGGAUAUUCCGAGUUGGCCAACUAACGCCCAAAAGGGCAUAUGUAGACAAAAAGUUGAACGGCGAGGGUAUAAAUGGACCAAACUUUAAACGGAUGGUAUAUCUAAACCUUUUCAAAUAGUUUAGGGGCAUAUUUGACCCUUUUCCCUUUAUUUAUUUAUUCCAUUUUGGAUUUUCAUCUUCUUGGAUGGAGCUCAACCAAUGGUAAAGGGAAGAGACCACUGUGUUUUCGAUUUCAAAUUCGAGUUUUGAGUAUAAAUUUAAAUACGAUUAAAUAUUAGACCAAGAAAAACAGAGGUAAAUAUUUAACAUAUACUAAUUCAUUAUAGAUUAAUAGUGUAUAUAAUUAAUAAUUAUAAUUUAAUUAAAUAACAAGAGUGAAUGUGAAUAUAUGUGUUGUAUAUUUGCACUAUUAGUUGUAAUAUAAAUUGUGUGUGAAUAAGUUGUUUUAUUAUAUAUAAUGUAUUUAUCGAGUUAAUAUAAUUAUGUGCGAGUAAAUUUUUAUUUUGUUCAUCCAUGUUUAUUUUUUAAAAGAAAAACAUUAAUUUCGUUAUUUUUUCUCUAUUUUUUAUUUAUGUGUCAAAUAUUUUCUAAUUUGAUUUCUCUUUUCACUUGUUAUUUUUCACAAAGUAAGGAAUGGCAAUUUUUUUUAUUUCUCCUUUUAUAUCCUCAAUUUAUUAGUAUAGAGUUAACGUCUUUGAAAAAUGCAAUGAGUAAAAAAAUUUGACAAGUAAAACAAAGAUAGAGAUCGUAUUAAUUUUAACAAAACUACAAUUAAAGUCAUUGUUAGCUAUUAAUUGUAGUGUAAAUGUUGUGUGUGAAUAAAGUUGCAAAUUCAUUUUCUACGUUUACAUGGUAGAGGACAAAUAAUUUCGUGUGGAUUGAAAAAAUCAUUUUCUACGUUAACAUGGUAGAGGACAAAUAAUUUCGUAUGGAUUGAAAAUAAUAGUAUGUUUUAAACAAAUAAAUACAUAGCAUGUGUUGUUUUUAUCUCAUAUAUAUAAUAAGAAAAUACAAAUUUUAAUACUUAUAAUUUAUUUGCUUUUAAUUUUUAAAGUAAAUCUAUAAAAUAUAAGUAACUUCAAUCAUACAAAACAAAAAAAAUCAAAUAUUAAGGUAUUAUGAUUUUGUAAUUAAUGUUUUGUAAUUAAUGUUUCUCAUAUAGUAGUAAUUAAUAUGUCGAAUUAAAUGUGAUUGAAUUUUCAUGUUGGAUGGGAGUGGGGUUUAUAAUUUUGAAGUGUAAAUGUGCCUUAAAAGUGGGGUAAUAAAUGGAAGAUGACAAUUAAUCCAUUAUCCAACUAACCCCCACACAAUAUGUGAAGGAUAUUACCAAAAUGUUGGGAGGAAUAAAAAAACACUAACUCAUGGUUGUACCAAAUUAAUAUAUGUGAAAAUAUGUUUCAUAUUAGGAAGUUUUUUUAUUUACUGUUUUAAGUAUUUUAUUUUAGGUUAUUACGUUAUUUUGUGAUUGUUACUUUUUUUUUCAUUAUUUUGAUAUGUUAUAUUCGAAUUGAGGAUUCUCUGAAAAUAGAUUUGUCAACCUUCAUAAAUAGUAGUAUGAUCUUCGUAUAUUUUAUCCUCCCUUAAUUGUUGUUUGAUAACUUUAAUGAUAAAAUUGCUUGAUUUAACGUCGAUAUUGAUGUCUUUUUUAGGUGAUUUAGAAUAAAGCAUUCAUUUAUAUUUGUUAGGUUAUUAGCAUUUUAAUAUUAAUAUUUAACAUAUUAAAUUAUUUUAUUUUGGAGUUAUAAGAAUGAUCGGUUGGUAGGUAUUUGUGUCUUAAACUACCAAUUUAAUCAUGCUAUUCAUCUUUGACUUGGUAGUCAUGUAAUGCCAUUACUUUUGGCUUUAUUGGCUGAAUUCAUUGUGAGAUAAAAACAUUCCAAUAAACAUUGGAAUGGAUAACUUCUACAUCAUCCAUUAGCAUUGAUUAUUCAUCACUUUAUUUCACUCUUAAUUCCUCUAUUACUCUUUAUAACCUAUGUAACUCUUAUUGUAACCUGUGAAACUCCUAAGGUCAUUAUCUUCACUAUUUACUACCUCCAUUAUCUUCGUAUUCAUUGCUAGGAAGACUUAUUGUAGUAUAAAUAGUGGUGGUAUUUAUUUGGUUUGGUACACACAAUACACAAGAGAAAAAACAGAGUGAAAGUGUUGAUCUAAAAGAGAGUUCUUAUUAGUUGAAGGAGGUGUUUUUUUUUGUGGAGUUUUGGACUCAACUCUUGUCCAGAUUUGUUGAGUUAUAAUUUAUGAAGGCUGUUGUAUCUUGGAGGGGACAAGUCAAAGAGGAAUACUGCUAGACCGGUAAAAACAUUUGCUGCAGUGGGCUUAAAUCUCCCUAAAGAGAGCGAGAUAUCCGCACCUCAGUCUUAAAGAGAUUUAUUUUCUUCAUUUUUUAUUUUUAAUUGUAGUCUUGUAUUUAUUGUUGUCUAGUAAAUUUUUUCACUAAUAAUAUUUUAACAAUAUUUAUGUAAAUAUAUUAAAGACAGACUAAUUAUAGGAUAUAAUGUGUUUUUCUAUGUGAAAAAAAUAAUACAAGUAAUUCCAUAGCAUUUGUGUGUUUUGGGUGGAAUUUUUGUGGGGAAACUCUAUGGGUUAAUGAGCUUUUCUUUUCAAGGGAGAAUACAAUGAAUUAAUUUAAAGUUUGUGGGGAUAUGAUGGGAAAGGAAUGUGUUAAUUUUUUUGUUUUUUUUUUUUGGUUUUGUUUUAUUGAAUAUAUGAGUUGGCAAUUAGUUCUCAUCCUUUUGAGUUCUUUUAAUGUCCUAUUUAGAUAUUUCGAUUGAAAUUUUUGAUAAUUAUUUUUUAUCGAAAUAGCAUUUUGCUUAUUUUAAUGAUUUGUGAUGUUUAAAAUAUUAAGGAUAGUAUUAGAAAAAAAUUUAAUUUAUUAAAAUAGAUAAAUAAAUAAAAUAUUUGUUUUUCAUAGAAAAGUCAAAUAAAUUGAAACGGAAGAAGUAUUUACCUGAUAGUUACAUUUGGCCAAUAUGUGGAAGAGCAUUUAUGGCUUGUGUUUGUUUUUUUUAAAAAAAAAAUGAAAUAAUUUAUGGCUUGUGAAUUAGUUUAAGUUUUAAGAAAGAUUGACUUAUGUCGUUGGGGUGAAAAGGGGGGGAUGUAUAAUACAUAUUUUGGAAAAUUAAAAAUGUUUCUAAUGAUUUGUGUUUAACUGUUAGUAGUAAAUUUGAGAUUUUAUAAAACAAAUUUUAUAGUAAAAGAAGAAGAUCUAAUUGUGAUUUUUAAACUAUCAAACUAUAUUGAUAACCAAUAAUUUAAAUUUAAAUUGUGUCUUUUAAAAUUAUAAUUACUAAAAUUCAGAUAUUUCUCAAGAUAUCGAUAAUAUUUGUAUUUUUUUAAAAAUAAUCUUUUAUUAUGAGAUUUUAAAAUUCACUCAAAAUUGGUAAAUCAUUUUCAUUGAUUACACUGCAUCUAAAAGUUUUAACUAGUCCAUUAAACAAUCACCACUAAGAUAUCUUAAGAUCCACAAUUACAAAUUAGGCUAAUUAUUAAGCUAUAACAAGUAAAUUAUGAGAUAUUUUUCAAGAUAACUCUAAUGUUUGCAACUCCUUUUUAGGUAAUUCUUCUACUAGACUAGAAGUUUGAACAAAUUGGAGAUAAAUUUAGGUAUAUGUUAUUAAUUUGAUCCCUCAUUUUAAAAUGUUAGAUCACCACAAUUAUGAGAUUUAUUAUAAUUACAUAGUUCAAUUUCUUGAGAAUUUUAAUUUUAUAUCAAAUAUUCUUUUUUGUUCCUUUUUAGUUCUCUUUGUUUCUUUUUUAGAGUCAAAGGAUAAGAAUUUUUACUAACGUUUUAUGAUAUAUUUUUUCAUCAUAUUAAUAUGCAAAAGAUUAUAAUUUUGUAGUGUAUUUGUUAUAUAACUUUUGAAUAUGUAAAUAUUUAAUUUAAAAUAUUCUAAUUAAUGUAAUCUAAUUAAGCUCUGAAAAAUUAGUCAAAUUAAUUUUCGAAAAACAUAAUUCAACAAUUAAAAAAAGAACAGAAGUAGAAAAGCCAAAAAAUAACAAUUAAAAACGUGUAAAGAAAGGGUGAAAUAACAUGGGAAAGGUUAGAAAGUGGAGAAAAGAGUGCGACAAAUAAACAAUCAAUGGAUAUUGAAGUGACACUUUAGGUGUCACUACUCACUACAAGUGGCCAAUUAUUGUCCUAUAAGACUUUACAAUAGUGAAAUUUCCAUUUUCCACCGUCUUAUAUUAAUCGUCUCUUUUUUUUACACGUCUCUUAAAAAAUUAUAAAUGAGAGAGAGUAUUUUACUAAAUGAUCAAAAAAACUUAGUCAGGAAUUUAUAAAAAAUUUAAAAAAUAAAUUAAUAUUGUAUGAUAUAUGUUAUCCUACCAUUCUAGCCAAAAGGAAUUAUCCUUACUAAAUUUAUCCCUUGAAACACUGUUUUCAAACUUAAAAAACAUGUUUAUAUUUUUAUAACAUGAAUUAAUUGUAAGAUAAAAAUUAAAAAAAUGUAAUUAAUUAUGUUUUCAGCUAGAGAGAAUUUUUUUGAUUUACAAAGCUCUCCUUCAAAUAUCCCAUAAAUAAAGGUAGGUCGGAAUUGGUGAAAGAAGGGAUUUUGUAAAUUGACAACUAACAUAGAACGGAAGGAGUAAUAGACACAAAACAAAAAGGGAAAUUAAAUUACUACUUAUCUGAAUUUUGAACAAUGUUGGGUCCAUAGCUCAGUGGUAGAGCAUUUGACUGCAGAUCAAGAGGUCACCGGUUCGAACCCGGUUGGGCCCUCUUCUAAAAUUGUUUUCUUUUCUUUUAGUUAUCGUAUUAGGCUUUUUCGUUUCUCCGUUAGGUAAAGAUGCGAUUAUAUAUAUACCAUCUUCUUUAGACCUCUCUUUAUGAGGUUACGCCAAAUAUAUUGAUUGUCGAAUAAAUUGCUCAAUUUUAUCCAAAUUUAACUUUGCUUUGCGCAUUUUAAUUUGUUAAAUAUUCAUUCAAUAACACAAAGUAUUAGGUUAAUCUUAUACAAGACAAGAGUAGAUAUAUAUAUAUAUUUAUGGCUGUCAGAAUAUAAUUUCUCUCUGGCCUUUUUCCCCUUUAAGAUUCUUGUACAAUAGAAAAAUAUUUUUUCUCAGAACAACUGCUACUAAUAAACUAGAUAACUGAACAGCAACUUAAUCUUAAAAUGUCAGAACAAACAAUUUUCUUUUAAUAAUUUAAGCAAAAGGUGUCAGCCACUCAUUUUUCGCCACGUAGAAAAUUAAAAUAAUAAUCCUAUGUCAGGUCAUUAUGUUUACAACUGUUUUGAUUUCAUCAAACUGCUAAGGAACAAACUAAUUAAGAUAUUAAUUUUUUUCCUAAUAAGAAAAUAGUAUAAGCCAGUUAGCCUAUCAACAAAAGUUGUCUAGUGUUUUUGGGACAGUUCUUAAUGCAUAGUUGUAUGUACAUUGCAUUUGCCUUUGCCCUUAACAUUUUUUUUUAUUUUUUUAAUCUGUUCUGUUCAUGUAGUUUCUGUAUUGAGUCUGUUAAACAAAAUGACCAGAUGCAUGUACAUGUAAAAGCUACACAAAUAUUGCUUCAUAUUAUAGUUUUGUGCCUCCUAAAGUCUUUCUUUUUGGUUCCACUCAGUGUCUGAUAUUCGUAGUGAAGUCUGACAACAUUCAGAUUCUCGCUCGCUGCAUAAUCUCUGGUUAAAGGAAUAGCAACCCCAUUCACUUGGCCACGGUCUUUGGUGAUGCCUCCCAAUGACUUGUAACCAGCUUAAUGAUUAUUUUUUUUUAAUGUUUGGCAUUUGCAUUUAAACAAAGAUUUAAUGGUCAAUUAUUGAUUGAUGGAGAUCUUAAGCAAAAGUAAUGACUUUAUUAAAGGAAAAUAUUAAAUAUAGUUCAGUAAAGUAGAAUCAAUCACAAGUAAAUUGAAUGUGAAGGAGUCAGCCAAUACUAUGUGUUGCUUCUUAAGUUAGAAAUGAAUAUAAAUAAUUGUGAUCUGCUAUUCACAUGAUCCCUGUCAUAUUACUUUUCAUUUCCUCACUUUACUUGAUGGUAAUCAGGUCAACUCACACGUACCUCGACUAUUCUAACAGGCACCUGUUAUCACUCACUAGUAUGAGGUAACUCUAUCCACCAAGACUUCAACGAAUAGUGAGGAGUCACCUAACAGUAUUUUUAGUCUCUACAGAUGUUAAAACUUACAUUGACUAUUAAGCAACACACUUGGGAGUCGCGUAUCCGUUAAUUCGAGAAUAUUCAAAUAUGAGCAGGAUAAGUUAGCGCAAUAGUCCAUAGAAAUGCACUCAAGACAAGUAUGUUCACAAGCCUGGAGAAACAUGACCAAAGGAAACUCAAUAAAAAGUCAUGUUAUUGCAUAGGAAAUGAAAAGGUUCAUUGCAUAAAAGCAAUAAUGUUACAUUAGGUAAAGAUCAUAGAAGAAAGCUUCUUACACAGCUUUGGCAGCGUCAAUAACUAUGCUACAAAAGGGCAGAAAUCUCAAACAUGAAACAACCUAAAGAACUGUAUGGCGAAAGACUGCCUUCGCCUGCCUAUAAAUUCAGCAGUAAAUACUGAUACAGCCCAUGCUGAAAAAAGCUACAAGCUUUAGAUCAAAACAUUAACAUGCAGACGAUCAAGAAAACUUAAACGGCGAGAUCAAAAUAACUGAAGUUUGGAUUAAACCAAAAUUUCAACACAAGAUAACAAGAUAGUCUUAACUUAUUUAUCAGAUAUCUAUACAUUCUAUAAGCAGCAUUGGCUAAUACUUGAGGGGGUCUCUUCCUUCUCCUCAAUUACACCAUGCCGCCUAGCUUUCAACCCUCUAAAACAUAUGGUAACAGGAAAUAUCUUGACUAAGAGAGUUGUAAGCGAUUAAAAAUCCACCUGAUAAUGAAGACCAAUUAUAAUGGGGUGUGCCAAUCUCGGGGAACAAGCUAUAUCUAUGAAGCCCCGACUGACUAUAUACGUUUCACCAAUAUCAUGGCUAGUACCAAAUUGGAAUAUCUUGCUUCGGUGUGGUGUCACAUCCAAUGCCAGGCAGACUUCCAGGGUAAUUGGUGGACUGUAAGUUGAAUGGAGGCCCAAACAUGAAUUGCAAAUUGUCACUUGAAUUUAGGAUCUUGCAUUGAUCAACAAGAUUGCCUUGUGGCUGCAUAGACUGACUUGCGGAAACAUUAAUGUCUUUGAAGAUAUUCCCCUCCAUCAUCCCUCGACUGUGUAGGUAAUUGACCUGGUCAACACGAGGUUGUUGAUGAGGCUGCUGCUCUUUGGUCACUGCAACAUUUCCCGUAUUUUGGCUUUUGUUUCCUUGUAUAUUACAAUCAUAGAAUGACAUAAGGUCAUCAAUCAUCCUUUGCCCAUCUUCAGGAACUCCUACUCCAAAUAGAUCAAAAGGAGGUGGACUUGGAUUAACAGGCAGAGCAACUGAAGUUGACGGGAUAUAUUGUUGAGGGAGGACAACUGGCUUGACUUCGUUCAUGGGAAACUUUGAAACUCCAAAUUGAGAAGUGUUUCUAUAAGGGCAGACCAGUUGAUGAUUGUCUCUCGCAGAUCUGUCCUGAAAACCGUGGCGAAGUUCACUGUAAGGACAUUGAAGAAUCUCACAUGUAUAAAUCUGAGCCAUGGUAACAGUCUGUUCAUUGGAUUGCUUCCUCUUGCGGGUGAAAUCUAAGCUGGUGAUUAUUUCAUCCUUGAUAGGAUGAGACUGUUGUUGCAGAGGCAGCCUCUCGUUGAAUCUCUCAACAGUGACAUUCAACAAGUUGAGAUGGUGUGGUUUUUGCUCUUGAACAUCAAAGUUACACUCAUCUUGAGCACCAUCAACAUCAUACUCACUGCUGUCAUUCACAGUGAAAGUUCCACUACCACCAGCUGACGAUAAAGGUGGACAACGAUCAGGGUAUAGUUCUCGAGCCAAAGCUUCCUCCUGAUUGAUGAUAGCAAGCCAAGUCGCACUUUCUUUUGCUGUCAUCUUAUCCUGCAAGCACUUUGACUGCCUCACAAGCUUCCGGAUUUUAGCAAUAUCAGGGGAAAUGUGCUUGAUCACCGCUGUUAGGACACCAACCUUCCACGCCUUCUUCAGAUCAUGAGGCUUUUUAUAAGGUGGAGGACCUUGAUCCUUCUGCAAACCCAAUUGUGGCCACCAGUCCUCCUGUCCUGUAGGCCACCAUGGGGGUGAAACACCUUUCUCCAAUGGAAAUCUUCUCUGAGGAGGAUCACAGUGCUGCAUCAAAGCUGAUAAUAACGAACCAAGGGUGGUAUCUUGCAGCUCCUGCAAGGUGUGAGGGGUAGGACCAACUGGAUUUGAUACGUCAUUCUUGCCUGGGAUAGCAUGCUCAGCCUGGUAUUUGGCUAUAGCGGCAGGGCCAUUGCGAUCAAAUCUCACUUUAUCCUUCCACCACUCCCUAAGAUUAUCAGAUGCCCCACCAACCGGCUUGCCUUUCUCCGGAAUGAUCCCAUAAACAAAACCCUGAGCUUUACAUACUUCCAUCAUUUUCAACAUGUACUUCAAGAUCCCAUCCUGUGCCCUCGACAUCUUCUUCCUCCUUGCCUGCUCCUGUGACUGGCGUCGUUUGACAGAAUCAACAUCUUCCAUCCCCUGAUUCAUUUCUUUCAGCCUUUUCAG